GUUCAUCUUCAGGGCAGGGUGUAAUUCCCGACCGGUGGUAAAAGUCCACGAGCUUCUUUCGAGAGGUUGAUGCGGUGUAAUUCCGUAACCGACUGUAAAGUCAGGAUGGGAGAAGAUGUGA
Non-coding RNA from Brochothrix thermosphacta, 121 nucleotides. NCBI's taxonomy places the organism in Bacteria, Bacillati, Bacillota, Bacilli, Caryophanales, Listeriaceae. The record is from Rfam.